RNAcentral lists this ribosomal RNA (225 nucleotides) under uncultured bacterium. RNAcentral describes it as "partial 16S ribosomal RNA". It matches the Rfam family "Bacterial small subunit ribosomal RNA", at positions 114 to 334 of the family's 1533-position model. The record is from RNAcentral.
CGCGUAGGUAACCUGCCUUGUAGCGGGGGAUAACUAUUGGAAACGACAGCUAAUACCGCAUAACAAUGGAUGACACAUGUCAUUUAUUUGAAAGGGGCAAUUGCUCCACUACAAGAUGGACCUGCGUUGUAUUAGCUAGUAGGUGAGGUAACGGCUCACCUAGGCGACGAUACAUAGCCGACCUGAGAGGGUGAUCGGCCACACUGGGACUGAGACACGGCCCAG